GCCUGGGUGGCUCAGUUGGUUGAGCAUCCGACUUCAGGUCAGGUCAUGAUCUCACAGUCCGUGAGUUCGAGCCCCACAUCAGGCU
Transfer RNA from Felis catus (domestic cat), 85 nucleotides. It matches the Rfam family "tRNA". Rfam says of the family: Transfer RNA (tRNA) molecules are approximately 80 nucleotides in length. Lineage: Eukaryota; Metazoa; Chordata; Mammalia; Carnivora; Felidae. The record is from Rfam.